AUAGUAGUGUCAGAGUUUGAUCCUGGCUCAGGAUGAACGCUAGCUACAGGCUUAACACAUGCAAGUCGAGGGGCAGCAUGAAUAUUGGCUUGCCAAUAUUUGAUGGCGACCGGCGCACGGGUGAGUAACACGUAUCCAACCUACCGUAUACACGAGGAUAGCCUUUCGAAAGAAAGAUUAAUACUCGAUAUUAUCAUGAGUUCGCAUGGAUUUAUGAUGAAAGAUUCAUCAGUAUACGAUGGGGAUGCGUUCCAUUAGACAGUUGGUGAGGUAACGGCUCACCAAAUCUACGAUGGAUAGGGGUUCUGAGAGGAAGGUCCCCCACAUUGGAACUGAGACACGGUCCAA
RNAcentral lists this ribosomal RNA (348 nucleotides) under uncultured bacterium. RNAcentral describes it as "bacterial SSU rRNA". It matches the Rfam family "Bacterial small subunit ribosomal RNA", at positions 1 to 334 of the family's 1533-position model. The record is from RNAcentral.